GAUGAACGCUGGCGGCGUGCUUAACACAUGCAAGUCGAGCGAAGCAGUUAAGAAGAUUCUUCGGAUGAAUCUUAACUGACUGAGCGGCGGACGGGUGAGUAACGCGUGGGUGACCUGCCCCAUACCGGGGGAUAACAGCUGGAAACGGCUGCUAAUACCGCAUAAGCGCACAGAGCCGCAUGGCUCGGUGUGAAAAACUCCGGUGGUAUGGGAUGGGCCCGCGUCUGAUUAGGCAGUUGGCGGGGUAACGGCCCACCAAACCGACGAUCAGUAGCCGGCCUGAGAGGGCGACCGGCCACAUUGGGACUGAGACACGGCCCAAACUCCUACGGGAGGCAGCAGUGGGGAAUAUUGCACAAUGGGGGAAACCCUGAUGCAGCGACGCCGCGUGAGCGAAGAAGUAUUUCGGUAUGUAAAGCUCUAUCAGCAGGGAAGAUAAUGACGGUACCUGACUAAGAAGCCC
This 463-nucleotide ribosomal RNA is filed under the name uncultured bacterium. Its description in RNAcentral is "bacterial SSU rRNA". It matches the Rfam family "Bacterial small subunit ribosomal RNA", at positions 28 to 493 of the family's 1533-position model. The record is from RNAcentral.